GACGAACGCUGGCGGCGUGCUUAACACAUGCAAGUCGAACGGUGAAGCGCCUUCCUUUUUGGUGGGUGUGGAUGAGUGGCGAACGGGUGAGUAACACGUUAGUAACCUGCCCCCUUCUUCUGGAUAACCGCAUGAAAGUGUGGCUAAUACGGGAUAUUCUGGGUCUGUCGCAUGAUGGGUCUGGGAAAGAUAUUGUUUCGGUGGGGGAUGGGCUCGCGGCCUAUCAGCUUGUUGGUGGGGUGAUGGCCUACCAAGGCGGUGACGGGUAGCCGGCCUGAGAGGGUGGACGGUCACACUGGGGCUGAGACGCCGCCACGACUCCUACGGGAGGCAGCAGUGAGGAAUAUUGCACAAUGGGCGCAAGCCUGAUGCAGCGACGCCGCGUGAGGGAUGGAGGCCUUCGGGUUGUGAACCUCUUUCGCCAGUGAAGCAGGCCUGCCUCGUUUGUGGGUGGGUUGACGGUAGCUGGAUAAGAAGCGCCGGCUAACUACGUG
Molecule: ribosomal RNA, 494 nt
Filed under: uncultured bacterium
Lineage: Bacteria
Description: partial 16S ribosomal RNA
Rfam family: Bacterial small subunit ribosomal RNA
Source: RNAcentral